This 621-nucleotide long non-coding RNA is filed under the name Homo sapiens (human). RNAcentral describes it as "HSALNT0342155". Lineage: Eukaryota; Metazoa; Chordata; Mammalia; Primates; Hominidae. The record is from RNAcentral.
CCAAGUUCUCCAACCAGAUUCUACACAGCAACUGGAGGACAGGGCCUCAGAUCAAGGAAGAAGUGGGAUUGGUUUGGAGGGAUCCUAUCUGGACUCAAGGAAAGUGACAAUACAAAUUAUGGGAUGGAUCUACAUCCUCGAGGUAUCCUUAUAAGAAGAAGCGUGAAACUUGGACACACUGAUAUACCCAAGGAUAAAGUUCACGUGAAGAUGGAGGCAGAGGCUGGAAUAUGUGGCUUCAAAGAACACUCCCGGCCAGCAAUCACCAGAAGCUGAGAAGAGCAAAGAAAGAUUCAUCCCUAGAACCUGGUGUUAUUUAUCUGCUCAUAAAUGCUGAUAGUCAAGAACAAAAUGAACGAGUCACAAGAUAUUGAAAACAAAAAUCCUUAGGAGCAGCUGAUCCUGGUGGGCCAGGAAGCUCAGAAUCAAAAUGGAUGCUCAGUUGGAACAUCCGCACUAGCCUGCCACAUUAGCACGUUUGCUACCACCUCUUUCUGCAGAUCCCAUUUGCAAUUUCUGGGUUUACACCAUCAGACUGAUUUUCUAUGUAAUCUUCGUUAUAAGCCUCUUCAGAUGUUUUUAAAAUGAAAUGAGGAAUACAUUAAUGAAUAAUCAAAUGAU